GGCCGCCUGGCGAAAUGGCAUCGCGUCUGACUACGAUUCCGUCGUUAUCAGGAGAUUGCAGGUUCGACCCCUGCGGUGGUCA
This 82-nucleotide transfer RNA is filed under the name Vararia minispora EC-137. RNAcentral describes it as "tRNA-Arg". It matches the Rfam family "tRNA". From Rfam's summary of the family: Transfer RNA (tRNA) molecules are approximately 80 nucleotides in length. Their secondary structure includes four short double-helical elements and three loops (D, anti-codon, and T loops). Further hydrogen bonds mediate the characteristic L-shaped molecular structure. tRNAs have two regions of fundamental functional importance: the anti-codon, which is responsible for specific mRNA codon recognition, and the 3' end, to which the tRNAs corresponding amino acid is attached (by aminoacyl-tRNA synthetases). tRNAs cope with the degeneracy of the genetic code in two manners: having more than one tRNA (with a specific anti-codon) for a particular amino acid; and 'wobble' base-pairing, i.e. permitting non-standard base-pairing at the 3rd anti-codon position. Lineage: Eukaryota; Fungi; Basidiomycota; Agaricomycetes; Russulales; Lachnocladiaceae. The record is from RNAcentral.